AUUGAACGCUGGCGGAAUGCUUUACACAUGCAAGUCGAACGGUAGAGGGGGCAACCCCUCGAGAGUGGCGAACGGGUGAGUAAUAUAUCGGAACGUGCCCAGUCGGUGGGGGAUAACGUAGCGAAAGUUACGCUAAUACCGCAUACGAUCUACGGAUGAAAGCGGGGGACUCGCAAGAGCCUCGCGCGAUUGGAGCGGCCGAUAUCAGAUUAGGUAGUUGGUGGGGUAAAGGCUCACCAAGCCAACGAUCUGUAGCUGGUCUGAGAGGACGACCAGCCACACUGGAACUGAGACACGGUCCAGACUCCUACGGGAGGCAGCAGUGGGGAAUUUUGGACAAUGGACGCAAGUCUGAUCCAGCCAUUCCGCGUGCAGGAUGAAGGCCCUCGGGUUGUAAACUGCUUUUGUACGGAACGAAAAGGUUUCCAUUAAUACUGGGAGCUCAUGACGGUACCGUAAGAAUAAGCACCGGCUAACUACGUG
RNAcentral lists this ribosomal RNA (483 nucleotides) under uncultured bacterium. RNAcentral describes it as "bacterial SSU rRNA". It matches the Rfam family "Bacterial small subunit ribosomal RNA", at positions 30 to 507 of the family's 1533-position model. The record is from RNAcentral.